RNAcentral lists this ribosomal RNA (468 nucleotides) under uncultured bacterium. Its description in RNAcentral is "partial 16S ribosomal RNA". It matches the Rfam family "Bacterial small subunit ribosomal RNA", at positions 28 to 507 of the family's 1533-position model. The record is from RNAcentral.
GACGAACGCUGGCGGCGUGCUUAACACAUGCAAGUCGAACGGAAAGGCCCUGCUUUGGUGGGGUGCUCGAGUGGCGAACGGGUGAGUAACACGUGAGUAACCUGCCCUGGACUUUGGGAUAACUUCAGGAAACUGGGGAUAAUACCGGAUAGGAGCUCCUGAUGCAGGGUGGGGGUUGGAAAGUUUCGGCGGUGGGGGAUGGACGCGCGGCUUAUCAGCUUGUUGGUGGGGUAGUGGCUUACCACGGCUUUGACGGGUAGCCGGCCUGGGAGGGUGACCGGCCACAUUGGGACUGAGAUACGGCCCAGACUCCUACGGGAGGCAGCAGGGGGGAAUAUUGCACAGUGGGCGGAAGCGUGAUGCAGAAACGCCGCGUGCGGGAUGACGGCCUUCGGGUUGUAAACCGCUUUCGCCUGUGACGAAGCGUGAGUGACGGUAAUGGGUAAAGAAGCACCGGCUAACUACGUG